Molecule: transfer RNA, 75 nt
Filed under: Klebsiella pneumoniae subsp. pneumoniae KPNIH22
Lineage: Bacteria; Pseudomonadati; Pseudomonadota; Gammaproteobacteria; Enterobacterales; Enterobacteriaceae
Description: tRNA-OTHER
Rfam family: tRNA
About the family: Transfer RNA (tRNA) molecules are approximately 80 nucleotides in length. Their secondary structure includes four short double-helical elements and three loops (D, anti-codon, and T loops). Further hydrogen bonds mediate the characteristic L-shaped molecular structure. tRNAs have two regions of fundamental functional importance: the anti-codon, which is responsible for specific mRNA codon recognition, and the 3' end, to which the tRNAs corresponding amino acid is attached (by aminoacyl-tRNA synthetases). tRNAs cope with the degeneracy of the genetic code in two manners: having more than one tRNA (with a specific anti-codon) for a particular amino acid; and 'wobble' base-pairing, i.e. permitting non-standard base-pairing at the 3rd anti-codon position.
Source: RNAcentral
GGGUCGUUAGCUCAGUUGGUAGAGCAGUUGAUUUUAAUCAAUUGGUCGCAGGUUCGAAUCCUGCACGACCCACCA